AAAACCAAAGUAAUUGUCUAAUUACUUUCGACACUCAAUUGAAAACCGCUCCAUACCAUGCCAUAGGAAUUACAGUGGCCAAUACAAUCAAGACGACAUACGCGUAGUGCACGAUGGGAAGGUUAGGUGUACUGUACAUGUACUACCGUCGAGUGUACAAAAGCUUUCCUGUAUGCUGAUUGGCUGUAUUUUCUAUGCCAUGGUGUAACCGCAUACUUGAAUUGGUCAAUAUUCAGUUCAUCGUUGCUUUUACCGAGUGGAAUUUAUAUUUCUCUCCUAUCAAUUAAAUCUCAGACCAUUUCAAUUCGUCUCAAAUCUCUGUUAUCAGUUUUAAAAAUGCGUUAUUUUCCUAGCUGACCUGUAUACCACACAAUACUCACAGACCCUAGUUCCCAGCCUUGUCUGUUGCUGUGGUAAAGGCGUGGUUACAAAAGAAAAAAUGGCGGAAAAUUGGAAAAAGAUGCCGCUUGAUAAUAAACGAGAGUCUUGAAUGCACUUGUACCACGGUAUGGUGUUAUCAUGAGCGCGCAACCCUCAGUUCGUGUGUUGACUAGGUUAUGGCAUUGCGGACGUGUUUUUCGAAGACAGUGUGGGUGGCGAAUUCGCGGAAUCCAUCGUCGUGUUGUUGUCACUGGUCUGGGUCUGAUUACUCCUCUUGGAAUUGGUACAGAUAGAGUUUGGGAAAAUUUAGUGCAAGGAAAAUGCGGAAUAACAAAAAUACACAGGGAAGAUUUUAAAGGGAUUCCUGCACAAAUAGCUGCAUUUGUGCCAAGAGGUACAAAUCCAGGAGAAUUCAAUGAGAAACACUGGGAAAAGGAACUUAAAGUGGAUAGACGGAGCACCACAACAGAAGGCCUGUUUUCCAUUGUAGCUGCACAUGAGGCUUUUGAAGAUUGUAAUUGGAGACCAACUACGCAGCAACAGAAAGAAAGAACUGGUGUGUCUGUUGGAAUUGGAAUGACUGGCUUAAUGGACACGCUGGAAUCUGGAGAGGCACUUUACAAACAGGGAUAUCGCAAAGUGAGUCCAUUUUAUGUGCCGAGAGUUCUCCUGAAUUUGCCGGCAGGAGUUGUCAGCAUGGCCUUUGGCCUUCAAGGUCCAAACCACGCUGUAUCCACUGCUUGUGCGGCCAGUGCCCAUGCUAUUGGCGAUGCUUUUAGAAUGAUCCGUUAUGGAGACGCUGAUGUGAUGGUUGCAGGUGGAGUGGAAUCCUGCAUCAUGCCACUGUCCAUGGCAGGCUUCUGCAAAAUGCGCGCGCUCACCACCAAGUUCAAUGACCUUCCGCAGGAGGCAUCGCGGCCGUUUGACCGUCGGAGAUCUGGGUUUGUAAUGGGCGAAGGAGCAGGAAUCAUGAUUUUAGAGGAAUAUGAACACGCAGCCAGUCGUGAUGCUAGGAUUUACGCCGAACUUCUCGGUUACGGCCUGUCAGGAGAUGCUUAUCACAUAACAGCCCCAUCAGAGGGAGGGUACGGAGCAUAUUUAGCGAUGAAGAAUGCUCUCCGAGAUGCAGGGCUUAAACCAAAGGAUAUCCAUUACAUCAACGCACAUGCGACAUCUACUCCACUGGGAGAUGCUGGCGAGAACAAUGCCAUCAAAACAUUACUUGAAAGUCACUCCAAAAAUGUUCAAGUUUCCUCCACAAAAGGAGCUACUGGUCAUCUUUUAGGAGCGGCGGGCGCUGUUGAAGCUAUUUUUACGGUGCUUAGUGUCUACAAGGGCGUGGCAUCUCCUACAUUAAACCUUCACAACGUGGACUCAGAAGAGGAGUUUAACAUGAACUACGUUCCUCUCACGUCCCAGCAAUUUCACUCUCCUGAGCCGAGAACAGCACUGACGAACUCGUUCGGCUUCGGUGGCACAAACGCUUCACUGUGUUUCAGACAGUUCGUGCCUUCGUGAAAAUCUCCGGAGAGCUUCCAAUGAUGGUAUUACCCAAUCACAAAUACUUGAAAAAACUGUUCCUCGAGGUCAGUAAAAUGAAUCAGGUGGAGUCUCUCCAAGAAAAAAAAAAAGAGAAAGAAAAGAGAAGGAUUACAACGAUUGUGCUGGAUGUGUUCCUCUAUGGACUGUAAUCUUGUAAUCUUUAUUAGACCGUCUGUAAAAUGGACAAUCGGAUGUGAAAGAAAUGGUUUAAGUGCCCUUAUUUUAGGAGUUACAAUGGAAAUAAACAUCAAACUAAUCCUAUGCAAGUGUCUUGCAAAUUUCUUUUUUAAUAAGUGUCGUUGCCUGUCGUGCUCGAUUGUCUUCUGAAGUCCAUUUCUUUUCAGUCUGUUUACUUUGCUUGUUUGCUGUCGUUAACUAUUCAAUUUUCCAAUGAAUCUGAUGAAAUUAUUGAUUUCUUCGCGCCAGUCCAGCGGGGCACCAUUUAUUCCUUUCAUUCAUUGUGUAAUUGCAAAUUGAUUGGAGUCCUGCAGCAAAUAAAAAGUGCAAAGCUUUUCGCCAGGCGAUAAUUACCUAUCACCAUUAAUUAUGGUUGCUAUUUCUUGAUUACGUUUUCGUAUUUAGGGGAAGUCGGAAAUACCGACUGCACUAUAUUUAUAAUAUAAUUUUUCGCAGUUUUCCUCUCUUCGCGUGUGGUUUGUUUUCCUUCUCUUCUUAAUCAAUCUUUCACUUACAAUCGCCGGAUUGGCAAACCUGAUCUCUAAUUUCACUCCAAAGUUGUGCUUUAUAAGAAAUGUCAAAUGUUUACAUGACCAAUAUGUCACACUAAUCCACUGAAAGGCUAAAUGCGAUAUUAAAACUGGUGAAUAUUGCCAUGCAGGUUUAUAAGAAAUGACAUUAGCUUACUCAAAAUGUUUGCGGAGCAAGUUGUUGAAAAGAGUAGCGGUUUUAUCAAGACGUUAGGAAAGAAAUAAUUCCCAGAUCCUUUUUGGUAAAUUUAAAAACUCUAUAGCGCUGUUCUCGACUAUUUUAUUAAUAUUUUCGUUGGCUAGUUAUUGCGUUAUGCGGUGUUUGUCCAGAAGAAAAAUAUUUACUGAGAUGAAUUUGUUUCGUUUAAUUGAAACGUGGGAAAGUUGCUUAGCAUUGGUUCCCUCAGAUUCCCGAAACGACUGGCGUGUAUUCUUUUUGAAGAGGGUAUUCUGUGGCGGGAUGAUUAUAUUUGUAGAGAGAUACGUGUUUAUAAGCAGGUUUCAACCGCAAAUGGCACUGUAUAAUAGGCAAACACCUGAAAUUCAGACAGGUUUUAACCACAAAAUAUUAAAUUAUUAAUGAGCAUGCCAUUUUUGUGCCCAAAAACCUUGCACGUCCAAAUUCACACUUUUUAAUCACCUUUCUUUUGAACAGAGGUACUUCAUUCAUUGGUAGAACCAAGUGACUGGAAUUCCUUCCAUUCAGACUGAUCAUUACUUUAUAGUCCUGCAGCCCACAAGUUGUAAUUAGGGAAAUUUUGGUGUCUAGACGCGAACAUAGAGGGUCUCAUCCUUGUGCAAACGGGAGGGUAGAUAACGGGUCUAAAUGUCAUUGUCUGGUGGAAUUGCAUUGCGGCAAAAAAAAAUCAACACUGGGUAUGAUAGCUGCAUUUGCAUUCACUAGCGUGCACUUUUAUGAACAUCUUCCUGUUGAUUAUCUGUUGAAAUAAUAUCUUGAAAUGUGAUUUCUCGUGAACAAAGCCUUUGGUAACAAGUGCACUUCUCCGCAGAGAAUUGAGUAACAAGAACUGUCAACAACUCAGUUUUAUUGUUUAAAGGAAUUUCGCCCACACUGUAAGAUUUUGGAUUGUGACGCAAUUCAUUCGGAAUCGAUUGGAAUCGUGGAAAUAACUGCUGGUUUUUGGCCGUGUAUCACCGUAUACCGGAGGAAUAUUUUGUUUACCUAACGCUACUGAAUAACAUAAAGUGAAUAUCUGGACUUAUGGAACGACCACUGAGCCUCGUCUUUACGUUUCAAGAGGCAACAUGAAAGAGUUCAAGCCAUGGAAUUUGACUACACGAGGUUUACUGGCCUUUCGUGAUGUUGCCUCAGUAUGCUUUUUAUGGCUGAUCCUGAAGGGAAUUAUAAUCCUUGGUUUAACAAGGAAUGCGACAAGUUUCUCAACAAGCGAUGUCAGUUCAUUUGGCUCUAUGUCGUCUGUACUUGCAACUGCUGUUGCCCCAGAGACAACGUCAAGGACAGGAAUAUUCAAUCAGUCAAGGACAGAAACAAGCAUUCCUUAUAGUGAAUCAUUUUCUUCUUCUAGGGUAGUUGAUAGUAUCGCACAAACCACUCGUAUUUUUGUAUCGUCUUCACAAAAUACAGCUUUCAAUGCUGCAACAUCAUCCAUCUCGUUUAAUCCACAUUCACCGUCAUUUCGAAUAUCCAGCGUCAUGUACAGUAACUCGCCCGAGGUCACUGACAGCCUUGUAUCCGAAAGAACAGAAUUGUAUUCAACAACAAAUGUAAAUAACAUUAACAAGACACAACUUGCUAGCGGCCAUACAACAUUAUUUCAAGAAGUAUCGUCAAUCGCAAGUUCAGCAAACCUUGUGCCAUCAUCCACAAAUAUGGUGAAACUAAGCACGCUCAAGCGUUCAACAAUUGCAGAACAAGAAAGUACAUCUGUAUUGUCACUCUUGGGUUCUUCGUCAACGUCCACAAUUGCAUCCAUUCUUGUGAAAAACACAGAGGAACGUAGUUUCUCCGCUGUCGCAUCAAUCUCAAGCCAGGUACUUGAUCAGAGUACACCUGUACUGACUUCUGUGUUUUCUGUGUUAGAUUCAUUAUCAUCAUUAUCUUCACCAGAGUUAUCGUCACUCAAUGUUGUUUCACGUACAACAGCGACGGAUGAGACAGUAAAUUCAAGGCAGACAACAAGGCAAAUUUUACCUCCAUUGUCUUCAACGCCUUCUUUGCUGGAGGUAUCAUCAGCAUUCUUUGUUUCCUCAAGUAGUGUUUCAACUAAACAAAGAAAUAGUUCAGAUGGUAUUUCAAUAAGCUCCAAAAAGUCGUUACUUCAAAGUACAUCUGCGUUGUACUCCGUGUCUAAUUUGCUGGAUUCGUCGUCACCAUUUGGCUCAUUAUCGAAAGAUUCCACCGUUAC
RNAcentral lists this unclassified non-coding RNA (5017 nucleotides) under Orbicella faveolata. RNAcentral describes it as "3-oxoacyl-[acyl-carrier-protein] synthase, mitochondrial-like, transcript variant X2". Lineage: Eukaryota; Metazoa; Cnidaria; Anthozoa; Scleractinia; Merulinidae. The record is from RNAcentral.